GACGAACGCUGGCGGCGUGCUUAACACAUGCAAGUCGAACGGAAAGGCCCUGCUUUUGUGGGGUGCUCGAGUGGCGUACGGGUGAGUAACACGUGAGUAACCUGCCCUUGACUUUGGGAUAACUUCAGGAAACUGGGGCUAAUACCGGAUAGGAGCUCCUGCUGCAUGGUGGGGGUUGGAAAGUUUCGGCGGUUGGGGAUGGACUCGCGGCUUAUCAGCUUGUUGGUGGGGUAGUGGCUUACCAAGGCUUUGACGGGUAGCCGGCCUGAGAGGGUGACCGGCCACAUUGGGACUGAGAUACGGCCCAGACUCCUACGGGAGGCAGCAGUGGGGAAUAUUGCACAAUGGGCGGAAGCCUGAUGCAGCAACGCCGCGUGCGGGAUGACGGCCUUCGGGUUGUAAACCGCUUUCGCCUGUGACGAAGCGUGAGUGACGGUAAUGGGUAAAGAAGCACCGGCUAACUACGUGCCAGCAGCCGCGGUGAUACGUAGGGUGCGAGCGUUGUCCGGAUUUAUUGGGCGUAAAGGGCUCGUAGGUGGUUGAUCGCGUCGGAAGUGUAAUCUUGGGGCUUAACCCUGAGCGUGCUUUCGAUACGGGUUGACUUGAGGAAGGUAGGGGAGAAUGGAAUUCCUGGUGGAGCGGUGGAAUGCGCAGAUAUCAGGAGGAACACCAGUGGCGAAGGCGGUUCUCUGGGCCUUUCCUGACGCUGAGGAGCGAAAGCGUGGGGAGCGAACAGGCUUAGAUACCCUGGUAGUCCACGCUGUAAACGGUGGGUACUAGGUGUGGGGUCCAUUCCACGGGUUCCGUGCCGUAGCUAACGCUUUAAGUACCCCGCCUGGGGAGUACGGCCGCAAGGCUAAAACUCAAAGGAAUUGACGGGGCCCCGCACAAGCGGCGGAGCAUGCGGAUUAAUUCGAUGCAACGCGUAGAACCUUACCUGGGUUUGACAUGGAUCGGGAGUGCUCAGAGAUGGGUGUGCCUCUUUUGGGGUCGGUUCACAGGUGGUGCAUGGCUGUCGUCAGCCCGUAUCGUGAGAUGUUGGGUUAAGUCCCGCAACGAGCGCAACCCUUGUUCACUGUUGCCAGCACGUUAUGGUGGGGACUCAGUGGAGACCGCCGGGGUCAACUCGGAGGAAGGUGGGGAUGACGUCAAGUCAUCAUGCCCCUUAUGUCCAGGGCUUCACGCAUGCUACAAUGGCUGGUACAGAGAGUGGCGAGCCUGUGAGGGUGAGCGAAUCUCGGAAAGCCGGUCUCAGUUCGGAUUGGGGUCUGCAACUCGACCUCAUGAAGUCGGAGUCGCUAGUAAUCGCAGAUCAGCAACGCUGCGGUGAAUACGUUCCCGGGGCU
RNAcentral lists this ribosomal RNA (1346 nucleotides) under uncultured bacterium. Its description in RNAcentral is "partial 16S ribosomal RNA". It matches the Rfam family "Bacterial small subunit ribosomal RNA", at positions 28 to 1381 of the family's 1533-position model. The record is from RNAcentral.